ACGCGGGGCUCGAACUUACUAACUGUGAAAUCACGACCUGAGCCAAAGUCAGAUGCCCAACUGACUGAGCCACCCAGGCGCCCCUCCUCACUUGCUUUUUAGUGGCGGGACUCCACAGCUAGCUUAUGGGAAGCUAAGGACCCAGAGCAGAGUUUGAGGACGCGAGGCUCUAGGCUCCCAGACGGCAGUGGGCUGAGCACACAGACAGAUCUGUGAGCCGGGACAGACGCGCGGAGGCCAGGGGUCACCUCACACCCGUCCUGCCGGCUGGGCCCUCGGCAAGCACCGAGGCCUACUUGGACGUGGCCGGCACGCAACCGUUGGAAGAAGGGGAGGCAAAGAAUAAUAGACCCAAAGACUUGGACCUUCAGUUUUGCAAGAGGUCUUUAGAGAGAGAGGCUUCUUCCCCGGCAAGCUUGUAACACCUCGGAAAGGGCUUCAAAACACAUGCAGAUUAACUCAAAGAAAGCAGAUCACAGCUAAGUUGAGUAGCAGACGCUAGGGGCCCUCCCCCUCUACCCUUCAAGGCCAGUUUCGGGAACCUCGGAAAGCCAGUCUUCGGUCACUCUGACGAGUCUUUGCCUCAUCACCCUGCUGGCGUCAGCUGUGGCCUCUGCCUCCCGGUUGUCCGGCUGCCUGAGGAGGGGGCCGAGGCUGCGGUUCCUGCCGCUCUCUGCUCUGCCCGGGGACUUGGCCGUUGGUACCCCCACCACCCGACUUCUGCCCAGCGGACAGAGGGUACCUCUCCACAAAAGCGCGGGGGACCCAGGGCUCACCUCCCAAAGUCUGUUGAAGUCCAGGUUUGGGCUGACAAAGUGAAUUCCUGUACUGGGACCACAAAAUGGAGGCGGCCCUGGUGGCCCAGCCCGUGUCACAGUUCUAAGCCUAAGUCAUGUGAAACACCUGUCGGGGAAACCCAGCCCCCCCCCCCCCACCCCAGCAAAACAGGACCUGCCUGCCUUUUAAGGAAACCCCCACCUCCCGGCCAAUCAUGCCCAUUCUUUCCCACGUUGCUGCUUCUCUACACAACUGGCUCUUGCCCCAAAUCCUGCCAGACUGCUCCAUGCUUGGGAGGCGCUGUACUCCCCCAAUCCACAGCUUGUCUUCCCUCAAAUGAAGGAAGGGUAAACUCAUCACUCAAUUGUUUCCGUUUUGUCCUUUGACAGGGUUGAGAACGCUGAGGUGGCGUGACCCAGGGGCACCAAGUACAGCUCUGAAGAUCUCAGUUGCUAAUGAGAACAUACGGCCCACGUGCCGGAAGAUGACAUUUGCAGACGCUUGUUAACGCUUGUGAAGUCACUUUCGGGCGUACCAUUUUGAGGCCUGUGGCAGGCUAGAGUCACUGAAGUAGUCAUGGUACCCAGCUCCCGGGUAGAUUCCUAGAGAUGACGGGGGCGAGAUUGGGCCCCAGCCCCCAGAACGGUACCCCCCCAGGGCUACCGGGAUGGACAGCUCAAGAGUGGAGUGUCUCAGAAAAGCCACACAUACGGGGUUAAUACGUGACCAAAGUAUUAGAGUUUGCUGGAAGGUUUUUCACGAACGGGUGUGGAAGCCGUCGAUUAGCUUCCUGAAAGCAAAACUAGUUUAAGUCCUCAUGUCCACCUCACAUACCAAAAUGAACGUCAUAUGGAUCCAAGAGUGAAAUGCCAUGAACAGAGGGAAAAAAAGAUCUAAAAACAAGUCAAGAUUCGAUUACGAAUGAGAAGGAACACUUUGAGCUUAAAAGCAAACUGAAAUUACAAAAAAAAAAGUGCAGAUUUAACUAUUUAAAA
Molecule: long non-coding RNA, 1772 nt
Organism: Leopardus geoffroyi (Geoffroy's cat)
Lineage: Eukaryota; Metazoa; Chordata; Mammalia; Carnivora; Felidae
Exons: 2
Source: RefSeq, a predicted model, not a curated record